This is a transfer RNA of Pelodiscus sinensis (Chinese soft-shelled turtle), 72 nucleotides long. It matches the Rfam family "tRNA". Rfam says of the family: Transfer RNA (tRNA) molecules are approximately 80 nucleotides in length. Their secondary structure includes four short double-helical elements and three loops (D, anti-codon, and T loops). Further hydrogen bonds mediate the characteristic L-shaped molecular structure. tRNAs have two regions of fundamental functional importance: the anti-codon, which is responsible for specific mRNA codon recognition, and the 3' end, to which the tRNAs corresponding amino acid is attached (by aminoacyl-tRNA synthetases). tRNAs cope with the degeneracy of the genetic code in two manners: having more than one tRNA (with a specific anti-codon) for a particular amino acid; and 'wobble' base-pairing, i.e. permitting non-standard base-pairing at the 3rd anti-codon position. The record is from Rfam. Lineage: Eukaryota; Metazoa; Chordata; Testudines; Trionychidae.
UCCCUGAUGGUCUAGUGGCUAGGAUUCAGCACUUUUGCUGCUUUGGCCUGGGUUUGAUUCCCAGUCAGGGAA